Molecule: ribosomal RNA, 468 nt
Filed under: uncultured bacterium
Lineage: Bacteria
Description: partial 16S ribosomal RNA
Rfam family: Bacterial small subunit ribosomal RNA
Source: RNAcentral
GACGAACGCUGGCGGCGUGCUUAACACAUGCAAGUCGAACGGAAAGGCCCUGCUUUGGUGGGGUGCUCGAGUUGCGAACGGGUGAGUAACACGUGAGUAACCUGCCCUUGACUGUGGGAUAACUUCAGGAAACUGGGUCUAAUACCGGAUAGGAGCUCCUGCUGCAUGGUGGGGGUUGGAAAGUUUCGGCGGUUGGGGAUGGACUCGCGGCUUAUCAGCUUGUUGGUGGGGUAGUGGCUUACCAAGGCUUUGACGGGUAGCCGGCCUGAGAGGGUGACCGGACAAAUUGGGACUGAGAUGCGGCCCAGACUCGUACGGGAGGCAGCAGUGGGGAAUAGUGCACAAUGGGCGGAAGCAUGAUGCAGCAACGCCGCGUGCGGGAUGACGGCAUUCGGGUUGUAAACCGCUUUCGCCUGUGACGAAGCGUGAGUGACGGUAAUGGGUAAAGAAGCACCGGCUAACUACGUG